UGCCAAGUGCCCUGAGACAAGAGUUCCCUCA
This 31-nucleotide non-coding RNA is filed under the name Mus musculus (house mouse). Lineage: Eukaryota; Metazoa; Chordata; Mammalia; Rodentia; Muridae. The record is from RNAcentral.